This is a long non-coding RNA of Ruditapes philippinarum (Manila clam), 275 nucleotides long. RefSeq lists it as uncharacterized. The transcript is spliced from 3 exons. Lineage: Eukaryota; Metazoa; Mollusca; Bivalvia; Venerida; Veneridae. The record is from RefSeq and is a predicted model, not a curated record.
GUCUUGGAGCUGGUAGAGGAUAUUAAGAAAUCCUUUAAGAAAAAUAUAGAUGCGACCAAGUGGAUGUCAAAAUUCACCAAGCGUGCUUCAAAGGAAAAGGUUGAUAAAAUGGGAGUGGAAGUAGGUUACCCUGAAGAAAUAUAUAACGAUGCGCUUUUAAACUCAGUUCAUAAGCAAUUUUCCAUUACCCCUGAGAGUCCAUUCACAACAGCCGUAAGCAUGUCUAAAGCAGAAAUGGUCCGCGAAGCACAAUUACUACGGGAACCUGUUUUUAA